UUGAUGCAAACAGCAAGAGGAUUUUUAUUCCAAGCGCACUGGGGCCCACAGUCGUAUGCCACGCAGGGGUAGAGGACUGCGGCCCCGAGUGCGGAAUCGGGACAGAUUUUAUGGGGUUCACAGCAAAGCCCGUGCUUCGCAAACCAAUCAUUUUAAAACAGCUCCGGAGGUCCGCAUUUGCGCGGGCUCCUGGGCAGAGUGACAGAUUGCAGUUGAGAUAGGUCACUAGGGCUUUCAAUGUGUAAUCAAUUCUUCUAUGGCGCUAGUCAGUUUUACAGAAUCCAGAUAAGCGAUUAGUCAGCUCAUUUCCUGUUGUCUUACUUAGGCCAGGGUCACGCAUUCCAGGGCCUAUUUUACGUUCUUUCAUCUAGUUUCAUACAGAAGGCAGGCCCUGGAACAGCAAGAAGUGUGACCUUCUACCUAUUUGCUGGCAGGGAACAGUGUCUGGAAUUCGGGGGCAUUUAGAGCUUUUUAUUAACUUCCUGGGUUCUGGGAGGGUUAGGUUGCAUUUUCAUCCUUUCAUUCCCCACUUCUUCUCUUGUUAAUAGUUCUAAUCUUAGAACUGGGAAGGCUAAAGGUCAGUUUCUCCUUGGCUCGGAAGGCCUUGGUACUGCUGUCUAAGUACCAUGAUCUGAACUGCACUCACUCGUUCUCUGACAAAGGCAACAAACUGAUUAAUUAAGCAAGGCCCAACUGUAAGCAACAGGAGCAGUUAUCACUAGGGGUCCUAUCAGAGCAGACAGCAGGGUGGUCACCCAUGGGGACUUGUUGAACCAUCCCUCAAACCAUCCUUGGCCAGCCUCUUUUCUUUGUGAUGUUUUUCUAACCUUUUUCUGAGCUUGUUCAUAGAGUCCCUGAUAGCUCAGAAUGAUCCACAUAAAAGCAGCAUUCCUCUUUGCUGUUGUUGUUGUUGUUGUUGUUGUUGCUGCUAUUUCUUGGGCCGCUCCCUCGGCAUAUGGAGGUUAACACCCUGGGCAGCUUGCUUGGCGACCUGGUCAGCCAUCUGGUUUCCUUUGGAGAUGAGAUCUUUGGCUUUCUGAUGUCCAGGGCAAUGUAUAAUGGCUAGCCUUUUUGGCAAAUGUAAGGCCUCCAACAAGCUUAGAAUUUUUUCUUUGUUCUUGACUUCCCUCCCUGCUGAGGUAAGCAACCCCCUUUGUUUAUAGAUGGCCCCAUGCACGUGUGCAGUCGCAAAGGCAUACCUGCUGUCCGUAUAAAUGUUUAUGGAUUUCCCCUCGGCCAGCCGCAAAGCUUGUGUGAGGGCCACGAGUUCAGCCUUUUGUGCUGAAGUCCCUUCCGACAGGCUGCUGGCCCAGAUAGUGCGGGGUCCCGUCCACCACCGCCGCCCUAGCCAUCCUCUUACCUUCCACUACAUAGCUGCUCCCAUCAGUGAACCAGGUCAGCACUUCUCCAGUCAGCGGUAUGUCUGUAAGGUCCUUGCGGACCCCAGUCUCCUCGAUCAACAGUUGAUGGCAAUCAUGAGUCACUGGUUCAUCGGUCUCUUCAGGCAGAAGAGUGGCAGGGUUGAGAGCGGCUGGUGGAGCGAACGUGACCCUCUCUGUGAGAAGCAGGCUUUGAUAGUGGGUCAUGCGGGCGUUGGUCAUCCAUCGGUCUGGGGGCUGCCGAACGAUGUUCUCCAACGCAUGGGGGGCUAUUACAGUUAUAUUCUGUCCCAAAGUCAAUUUGUCAGCGUCCUUGACCAGUAUGGCCACAGCUGCGAUAGCCUUCAGGCAUACGGGCCAACCACUGGCUACAGGAUCGAGCUUCUUUGACAGGUAGGCAACAGGUCUCCUCCAUGGUCCUAGGGUUUGGGUUAAAACUCCCCGGGCUACUCCCUUACGCUCAUCCACAUAAAGGGUAAAGGGUUUAGUUACGUCAGGGAGGGCCAGAGCAGGUGCGCUCAGCAGGGCCUUUUUGAUAGCAUCAAAUGCCUUCUGGUGCUCAGGAGCCCAGGAGAAUUCCCCUUUUUCUUUGGUUAGCGGGUAGAGUGGGGCUGCUAAGGUCGCAAACCCCGGGAUCCACAGUCUGCAAAAUCCAGCUGUCCCCAAAAACUCUCUCACUUGUUUGGCUGUGGUUGGGGCCGGUAUCUGGACUACAGUUUUCUUCCGUGCCUCCGUCAGCCAUCGCUGCCCGCCCCGCAAACUGUACCCCAAGUAUGUUACCUCUCUCCUGCAAAUCUGGGCCUUCUUAGCAGAGGCUCUGUAGCCUAGGUCAGACAAUUCCAGCAGUAGUGCCUUCGUACCUUCUAAGCAGUCCUGUUUGGUGGCUCCCGCCAGAAGCAGGUCAUCCACGUACUGGAGGAGGGUCACCUGAGGGUGUUGGAUCCUGAAGUUGGCCAGGUCCCUGUGUAGGGCUUCGUCAAAGAUGGUCGGGGAGUUCUUGAACCCUUGGGGCAGUCGGGUCCAGGUGAGCUGCCCGGUUCUUCCCGUACCUGGAUCUCUCCAUUCGAAGGCAAAAAGUGGUUGGCUAGUGGGGUGUAAUCUCAGGCAGAAGAAGGCAUCUUUUAAGUCCAAUACUGUGUACCAGUUCCGUUCAGGCGGGAGGGCGCUCAAGAGGUUAUAAGGGUUCGGGACCGUUGGGUGUAUGUCCUGCACCCUUUUAUUGACCUCUCUCAAGUCCUGUACUGGUCGAUAAUCAUUGGUCCCAGGCUUCCUAAC
This 2654-nucleotide long non-coding RNA is filed under the name Sus scrofa (pig). RNAcentral describes it as "lncRNA (ENSSSCG00035070249.1)". Lineage: Eukaryota; Metazoa; Chordata; Mammalia; Artiodactyla; Suidae. The record is from RNAcentral.